AUUGAACGCUGGCGGCAUGCUUUACACAUGCAAGUCGAACGGCAGCGCGGGCUUCGGCCUGGCGGCGAGUGGCGAACGGGUGAGUAAUGCAUCGGAACGUGCCCAGUAGUGGGGGAUAGCCCAGCGAAAGCCGGAUUAAUACCGCAUACGACCUGAGGGUGAAAGCGGGGGACCGAAAGGCCUCGCGCUAUUGGAGCGGCCGAUGUCGGAUUAGCUAGUUGGUGGGGUAAAGGCUUACCAAGGCGACGAUCCGUAGCUGGUCUGAGAGGACGACCAGCCACACUGGGACUGAGACACGGCCCAGACUCCUACGGGAGGCAGCAGUGGGGAAUUUUGGACAAUGGGGGCAACCCUGAUCCAGCCAUGCCGCGUGCGGGAAGAAGGCCUUCGGGUUGUAAAACGCUUUUGUUCGGGAAGAAAUCCUCUGGGCUAAUACCCCGGGGGGAUGACGGUACCGGAAGAAUAAGCACCGGCUAACUACGUG
Molecule: ribosomal RNA, 484 nt
Filed under: uncultured bacterium
Lineage: Bacteria
Description: partial 16S ribosomal RNA
Rfam family: Bacterial small subunit ribosomal RNA
Source: RNAcentral